UGGGGAAUAUUGCGCAAUGGGCGAAAGCCUGACGCAGCGACGCCGCGUGGGGGAUGAAGGCCUUCGGGUUGUAAACCUCUUUCACCACCGACGAAGCUAACGUGACGGUAGGUGGGGAAGAAGCGCCGGCUAACUACGUGCCAGCAGCCGCGGUAAUACGUAGGGCGCAAGCGUUGUCCGGAAUUAUUGGGCGUAAAGAGCUCGUAGGCGGUCUGUCGCGUCUGCCGUGAAAACCCGAGGCUUAACCUCGGGCUGGCGGUGGAUACGGGCAGACUAGAGGUAGGUAGGGGAGAAUGGAAUUCCCGGUGUAGCGGUGAAAUGCGCAGAUAUCGGGAGGAACACCGGUGGCGAAGGCGGUUCUCUGGGCCUUACCUGACGCUGAGGAGCGAAAGCGUGGGGAGCGAACAGGAUUAGAUACCCUGGUAGUCCACGCCGUAAACGUUGGGCGCUAGGUGUGGGGUCUUUCCACGGACUCCGUGCCGUAGCUAACGCAUUAA
RNAcentral lists this ribosomal RNA (497 nucleotides) under uncultured bacterium. Its description in RNAcentral is "bacterial SSU rRNA". It matches the Rfam family "Bacterial small subunit ribosomal RNA", at positions 355 to 863 of the family's 1533-position model. The record is from RNAcentral.